GGAUUGUGGCUCAGCUGUAGAGUGCUCACCUAGCACGUGAAAGGCCCUGGGUUCGAUCCUCAGCACCA
Molecule: transfer RNA, 68 nt
Filed under: Marmota monax (woodchuck)
Lineage: Eukaryota; Metazoa; Chordata; Mammalia; Rodentia; Sciuridae
Description: tRNA.Ala
Rfam family: tRNA (bases 5-65)
About the family: Transfer RNA (tRNA) molecules are approximately 80 nucleotides in length. Their secondary structure includes four short double-helical elements and three loops (D, anti-codon, and T loops). Further hydrogen bonds mediate the characteristic L-shaped molecular structure. tRNAs have two regions of fundamental functional importance: the anti-codon, which is responsible for specific mRNA codon recognition, and the 3' end, to which the tRNAs corresponding amino acid is attached (by aminoacyl-tRNA synthetases). tRNAs cope with the degeneracy of the genetic code in two manners: having more than one tRNA (with a specific anti-codon) for a particular amino acid; and 'wobble' base-pairing, i.e. permitting non-standard base-pairing at the 3rd anti-codon position.
Source: RNAcentral